RNAcentral lists this unclassified non-coding RNA (1179 nucleotides) under Thrips palmi. Its description in RNAcentral is "uncharacterized LOC117640385, transcript variant X2". Lineage: Eukaryota; Metazoa; Arthropoda; Insecta; Thysanoptera; Thripidae. The record is from RNAcentral.
GUCUGCACGGGAUAGGCUGGGGCCGGUGGCUCGAGCGCAGGGGUGACGUCACGUUCCUAUCUUUUCAUACCAACCUAAAUAAAAAACAAGGCUGCAAUUCUCGGACCUUUUAAUCCACAGUAAUAGUCAAAAUAAUACAAAUAUAUGCUUUUUGGAAUCUUAAAAUGUUCACACGUAUUUCAAGUGGCAGGUGAUGAUCGUGUACGUUAAUUUAAAACCAUCACUCGAAAGUCGUUCGGGGUGAUGCGCGAGGUUGCAUCACUGCGUUAUUUGAGUUGCUCCAGCAACAGAAAGAAGCGUCCUUUUCCGCGCUGCUCAUCGUCACAUCAACAUUGGAGGACUUUUUGGUCAUUUUCUGAAAAUGCCGACUGGUGGUUCUUAUGAUACUGCGAGAUGCUGGGUCCCAGGAUGCGUAAACCAGAAGAUUCCGGACAGGUUCAACACAACCGUCAAGUUGUUCAAGUUUCCUGCUGCGGACUUGCCUAGAUGCAGGAAAUGGCUGAAAGCUGUGGGCUCGACGUACUUGCUUUCCCUCACCACCCAACAGGUGAAAGCCAAGUUCAUUUGCUGUGCACAUUUUCGUGACUACGAAAUCAGGAAGAACAAAGUCAAAACUACAUUGGUGACUUCUGCCUUCCCUUCACAAUUCCCGCCUGAAGUGUGUCCCCUUCCUGAUGAACUGGUGGAGCAAUGGCCUCAGAGUAUGGCGAAGGAGAAUCAGUGUGGAAGGGAGCUCGACUCCAGUGAAUGUCAGCUUCAAACUUCUCUGUCUGCGUCAACUCCGAGACCCCUUCAGAUACUUGGACUCAAUCAAGUGUCGGCUGCCGGAGUGCAUGCUGGAGGUUCAUCUCAGCAGGCAUCCUUGAAGCCUGACUCUGGUUCAAAGAUGAAUGUUGACAUUCACUUUCUGGAUGAUCCAAGGGUUAAAUAUUUAUUUUUCAGGCCUCCCACAUGGGAGUCACGUGAGUAGAAUUCCAUCUACUAACAUUAAUUCAAGGGUUUACUAAAAUUCUGUCUGAAAAAUUCGCAGUUGACAGCCAGUGGGAGCUCGUGAACUUGGUUUUGUACCGCCACAAGGAAGACAGAGGUUUUCUUCGUGCCAUCUCAGCUAAUCUGAAAGUCGAGCCACCACGGUGCACAGUGGUAGUGGUGCAGUAAAUGUCAGCGGGUGGCAGUUGA